RNAcentral lists this ribosomal RNA (384 nucleotides) under uncultured eukaryote. Its description in RNAcentral is "SSU rRNA". It matches the Rfam family "Eukaryotic small subunit ribosomal RNA", at positions 587 to 972 of the family's 1831-position model. The record is from RNAcentral.
AGCUCCAAUAGCGUAUAUUAAAGUUGUUGCGGUUAAAAAGCUCGUAGUUGGAUUUCUGCCGGAGACGACCGGUCCGCCCUCUGGGUGCGCAUUUGGCUCGGCUUGGGCAUCUUCUUGGAAAGCGUAGCUGCAGCACUUGAAUGUGUGGUGCGCGGUUCAGGACAUCUACUUUGAGGAAAUUAGAGUGUUUCAAGCAGGCACGGGCCUUGAAUACAUUAGCAUGGAAUAGUAAGAUAGGACCUUGGUUCUAUUUUGUUGGUUUCUAGAGCUGGGGUAAUGAUUAAUAGGGAUAGUUGGGGGCAUCCGUAUUUAAUUGUCAGAGGUGAAAUUCUUGGAUUUGUUAAAGACGAACUACUGCGAAAGCAUUUGCCAAGGAUGUUUUCA